AUGAACGCUGGCGGCGUGCCUAAUACAUGCAAGUCGAGCGAACAGACGAGGAGCUUGCUCCUCUGACGUUAGCGGCGGACGGGUGAGUAACACGUGGAUAACCUACCUAUAAGACUGGGAUAACUUCGGGAAACCGGAGCUAAUACCGGAUAAUAUAUUGAACCGCAUGGUUCAAUAGUGAAAGACGGUUUUGCUGUCACUUAUAGAUGGAUCCGCGCCGCAUUAGCUAGUUGGUAAGGUAACGGCUUACCAAGGCAACGAUGCGUAGCCGACCUGAGAGGGUGAUCGGCCACACUGGAACUGAGACACGGUCCAGACUCCUACGGGAGGCAGCAGUAGGGAAUCUUCCGCAAUGGGCGAAAGCUUGACGGAGCAACGCCGCGUGAGUGAUGAAGGUCUUCGGAUCGUAAAACUCUGUUAUUAGGGAAGAACAAAUGUGUAAGCAACUAUGCACGUCUUGACGGUACCUAAUCAGAAAGCCAUGGCUAACUACGUG
This 496-nucleotide ribosomal RNA is filed under the name uncultured bacterium. Its description in RNAcentral is "partial 16S ribosomal RNA". It matches the Rfam family "Bacterial small subunit ribosomal RNA", at positions 29 to 507 of the family's 1533-position model. The record is from RNAcentral.